This 253-nucleotide ribosomal RNA is filed under the name uncultured bacterium. Its description in RNAcentral is "partial 16S ribosomal RNA". It matches the Rfam family "Bacterial small subunit ribosomal RNA", at positions 524 to 776 of the family's 1533-position model. The record is from RNAcentral.
UACGGAGGGUGCAAGCGUUAUCCGGAUUCACUGGGUUUAAAGGGUGCGUAGGUGGGUUGGUAAGUCAGUGGUGAAAUCCCCGAGCUUAACUUGGGAACUGCCAUUGAUACUAUCAGUCUUGAAUAUUGUGGAGGUUAGCGGAAUAUGUCAUGUAGCGGUGAAAUUCUUAGAUAUGACAUAGAACACCAAUUGCGAAGGCAGCUGGCUACGCAUAUAUUGACACUGAGGCACGAAAGCGUGGGGAUCAAACAGG